AAUAACACGUUGAUAAGGACUAGUAGGUAAGAAAGUUGUUAUAGAGAGGAAGAUAUUUGCUGGAAAUCUUCUAACAGCAGCAUUAUUGAAUUCACCUUGGAGUGCGACUAAUCAUCGCCGUUUAAGCUACGUUACAGUUAAUUAAGUGCAUGAUUAUAGAUCAUGAAUUAGGAUGGUACCGCGAGAUAAAUCGUUCCUAUA
RNAcentral lists this non-coding RNA (201 nucleotides) under Coprobacillus sp. Its description in RNAcentral is "T-box sequence". It matches the Rfam family "T-box leader". Rfam says of the family: Uncharged tRNA acts as the effector for transcription antitermination of genes in the T-box leader family. Lineage: Bacteria; Bacillati; Bacillota; Erysipelotrichia; Erysipelotrichales; Coprobacillaceae. The record is from RNAcentral.